GCGAAUGCCUUCUAGGGUUCCGCGGAAUGUAUUGCUUACUUCCGGGCUGGUCCAAGAGGAGGCGCGUGCCGAUCGGCGCGUACACGGAGGGAAAAAAACCCGGGAGGU
Molecule: small RNA, 108 nt
Filed under: Syntrophobotulus glycolicus
Lineage: Bacteria; Bacillati; Bacillota; Clostridia; Eubacteriales; Desulfitobacteriaceae
Also listed under: 1 other name
Description: Guanidine-I sequence
Rfam family: Guanidine-I riboswitch aptamer
About the family: This family represents a conserved RNA structure found upstream of the ykkC and yxkD genes in Bacillus subtilis and related genes in other bacteria. The function of this family is unclear although it has been suggested that it may function to switch on efflux pumps and detoxification systems in response to harmful environmental molecules. Nelson showed that this riboswitch senses and responds to guanidine and it was renamed Guanidine-I riboswitch.
Source: RNAcentral